This 481-nucleotide ribosomal RNA is filed under the name uncultured bacterium. Its description in RNAcentral is "partial 16S ribosomal RNA". It matches the Rfam family "Bacterial small subunit ribosomal RNA", at positions 28 to 523 of the family's 1533-position model. The record is from RNAcentral.
GACGAACGCUGGCGGCGUGCUUAACACAUGCAAGUCGAACGAUGAAGCCGGAGCUUGCUCCGGUGGAUUAGUGGCGAACGGGUGAGUAACACGUGAGCAAUCUGCCCUUGACUCUGGGAUAACUGCGGGAAACUGUAGCUAAUACCGGAUACGACACCUUGGGGCAUCCCAGGGUGUGGAAAGAAUUUCGGUCAAGGAUGAGCUCGCGGCCUAUCAGCUAGUUGGUGAGGUAAUGGCCUACCAAGGCGACGACGGGUAGCCGGCCUGAGAGGGUGACCGGCCACACUGGAACUGAGACACGGUCCAGACUCCUACGGGAGGCAGCAGUGGGGAAUUUUGGACAAUGGACGAAAGUCUGAUCCAGCAACGCUGCGUGAAGGACGAAGGUUUUCGGAUUGUAAACUUCUUUUGCAGGGGAAGAAAAAAAUGACGGUACCCUGUGAAUAAGCCACGGCUAACUACGUGCCAGCCGCCGCAGUAA